Molecule: ribosomal RNA, 423 nt
Filed under: uncultured bacterium
Lineage: Bacteria
Description: bacterial SSU rRNA
Rfam family: Bacterial small subunit ribosomal RNA
Source: RNAcentral
UGAGGAAUAUUGGUCAAUGGGCGCAAGCCUGAACCAGCCAUCCCGCGUGAAGGAAGAAGGCGCUAUGCGUUGUAAACUUCUUUUCCAGGGGAAUAAAAUUCUGUACGUGUACGGAAUUGAAGGUACCCUGGGAAUAAGCAUCGGCUAACUCCGUGCCAGCAGCCGCGGUAAUACGGAGGAUGCAAGCGUUAUCCGGAUUUAUUGGGUUUAAAGGGUGCGCAGGCGGAGUAGUAAGUCAGUGGUGAAAACCUGCAGCUUAACUGUAGAAUUGCCGUUGAUACUGCUGCUCUUGAGUGUGGUCAAGGUAGGCGGAAUGUGUAAUGUAGCGGUGAAAUGCUUAGAUAUUACACAGAACACCGAUUGCGAAGGCAGCUUACUGGGCCAUUACUGACGCUCAUGCACGAAAGCGUGGGGAUCGAACAG